GUCAGUAUGGUAUAGUGGUUAGCAUGUGCACUUUGGUUUUAAGGUCCUGGGUUCAAUUCCCAGAGCUGCCA
Molecule: transfer RNA, 71 nt
Filed under: Armillaria ostoyae
Lineage: Eukaryota; Fungi; Basidiomycota; Agaricomycetes; Agaricales; Physalacriaceae
Source: RNAcentral